This 630-nucleotide ribosomal RNA is filed under the name Triticum aestivum (bread wheat). RNAcentral's name for it is "partial small subunit ribosomal RNA". The record is from RNAcentral. Lineage: Eukaryota; Viridiplantae; Streptophyta; Magnoliopsida; Poales; Poaceae.
AUGAGGUGUGUACAUCUGAAAGGGAAGGGGUCUGUGUUGGCGGAUGUGCUACUGUCCAGGAAUCAAAUUCAGUCGUUGGUGGCUGAUGUUAACCGCAAUGAUCUACUGGCCAUAGGUGUCUGGUACGUGUGGUGGGAGCGUCGCCAGUUCACUCAUGGUGAGCUCCUUUUUGAGCCAACGAGAUCAGCACAAGCAAUUUUUGCUUUGGCAAAAAACUUCACACGGGCACAAUCUAAAAAUAUGAGAAUCAGGAGACAUGGAUGGAACAAGCCGCCGGAUGGUCUAGUUAAACUCAAUAUUGAUGCUACGUUUGAUCAAGACAGAGGUACUGGGAGUACUGGUGCAAUUUUACGUGAUGACACAGGUUUUUUUUUGGCUGCAUCUUGUGUUGAUAUUCCGUUCGUGGAAGAUGCGGGGACAGCAGAAGCUCGGGGUCUUAGGGACGGGGCUGCAACAAAAUCUAUGUGGAGGCAGAUUGUAUGGAGAGUGGAUGUUGUGCCUUGUGCACAACAUACAAGGCCGAAGGGCGGCCUGCUCAUGCUUGGUAUCCUGCCACCACUUCAUUGUGCAUGGCCGGAUAGUGCAUACAUGUUUGUUGCUUCUCAUGUCACGCAUGACUUUCAAGGAUAG